AGUGAACGCUGGCGGUAGGCCUAACACAUGCAAGUCGAACGGCAGCACAGUAAGAGCUUGCUCUUACGGGUGGCGAGUGGCGGACGGGUGAGGAAUACAUCGGAAUCUACUUUUUCGUGGGGGAUAACGUAGGGAAACUUACGCUAAUACCGCAUACGACCUACGGGUGAAAGCAGGGGAUCUUCGGACCUUGCGCGAUUGAAUGAGCCGAUGUCGGAUUAGCUAGUUGGCGGGGUAAAGGCCCACCAAGGCGACGAUCCGUAGCUGGUCUGAGAGGAUGAUCAGCCACACUGGAACUGAGACACGGUCCAGACUCCUACGGGAGGCAGCAGUGGGGAAUAUUGGACAAUGGGCGCAAGCCUGAUCCAGCCACACCGCGUGGGUGAAGAAGGCCUUCGGGUUGUAAAGCCCUUUUGUUGGGAAAGAAAAGCAGCAGGUUAAUACCCCGCUGUUCGGACGGUACCCAAAGAAUAAGCACCGGCUAACUUCGG
Molecule: ribosomal RNA, 491 nt
Filed under: uncultured bacterium
Lineage: Bacteria
Description: partial 16S ribosomal RNA
Rfam family: Bacterial small subunit ribosomal RNA
Source: RNAcentral